UACGGAGGGUGCAAGCGCUGUUCGGAAUUAUUGGGCGUAAAGCGCGCGCAGGCGGUCUGGAAAGUCUAUGGGUGAAAUGCCGGGGCUCAACCCCGCGCAUGCCCAGGAUACUGUCAGACUGGAGACACGUAGAGGCAAGCGGAAUUUCGGGUGUAGCGGUGGAAUGCGUAGAUAUCCGAAAGAACACCGGAGGCGAAGGCGGCUUGCUGGGCGUGAUCUGACGCUGAGGCGCGAAAGCGUGGGGAGCGAACAGG
RNAcentral lists this ribosomal RNA (254 nucleotides) under uncultured bacterium. RNAcentral's name for it is "partial 16S ribosomal RNA". It matches the Rfam family "Bacterial small subunit ribosomal RNA", at positions 524 to 776 of the family's 1533-position model. The record is from RNAcentral.